CCCUUAGACGUUCUGGGCCGCACGCGCGCUACACUGACGAAGGCAACGAGCUUUCCUUUACCGAAAGGUACGGGUAAUCUUUUGAAACUUCGUCGUGCUGGGGAUAGAUCCUUGCAAUUUUUGAUCUUAAACGAGGAAUGCCUAGUAAGCGCAAGUCAUCAACUUGCGUUGAUUACGUCCCUGCCCUUUGUACACACCGCCCGUCGCUACUACCGAUUGAAUGGUUUAGUGAGGCCUUCGGAUCCGCGACUCGUUUGUGGAGAAGUUGGACAAACUCAGUCAUUUAGAGGAAGUAAAAGUCGCAACA
This 307-nucleotide ribosomal RNA is filed under the name uncultured eukaryote. RNAcentral's name for it is "partial 18S ribosomal RNA". It matches the Rfam family "Eukaryotic small subunit ribosomal RNA", at positions 1470 to 1796 of the family's 1831-position model. The record is from RNAcentral.